Molecule: long non-coding RNA, 2290 nt
Filed under: Homo sapiens (human)
Lineage: Eukaryota; Metazoa; Chordata; Mammalia; Primates; Hominidae
Description: non-protein coding lnc-GTF2B-6:1
Source: RNAcentral
GCAGGAGAAUCGCUUGAAUCCGGGAGGCGGAGGUUGCAGUGAGCCGAGAUCAUGCCAUUGCACUCCAGCCUGGGACUCUGUCUCAAAAAACAAAAACAAAAACAAAAAACAAACAAAAAACCAUAAAUUCACAGUUCAGUGGCAAUUUUAAAUGGAAAGACACGCCUUAUUCACUAUGAUGCUUUUAUUGCUAAUUCAUUCAGUGAAGAGGAAUUAUGCAAGGUUUAAAAUGGCUUGCCUGUCCUGGUAUAUCCAAAACUCUUAAUUCAGAAGAUUCAUCUAUUUCUCCAAGAGAAGAAGCUCGUGGUGGGGCUGGAGGAGGUUCAGGCUCAAGAUCAAAGUCCAAUUUGGUUACUGUAGAAUCACUUAUAGAAGAUAAAGUAACUCACCAAAACAGUAAUAGAAAGUCUGUAUUUUAAACAGCUUUAAAAUUAAAGCAAACAAUUUACUUUUUAAGUAAACAGAACACUACUUUCAAAAUACUACUUGGGAAAAAAGCAAGACUCAGUACACCUGCUAUAAUCAGUACGUAAGAAUGUCCCAAUAACUUUGUAUAAGAGAUGCUUAAAAUCUCAGACACAUACCUAGCUGGAGGUGCUAGUUGAGGGAUGCGUACAUCAACCACUGGCACUGUAGUAGGCACAGGAGCUUGAGGGCUGAAGGUGCCAGAAUGAUUUACUGUAGGAAUAGCUCUUCUUACUAGCCUUCCCCAAGUGGCAAUAUUAAUAUUCAUUUGAGGAGCUCUGAGAAAUGUUUUGCCUUGUUGCUUUGAAAAAAUUUUCUUUUGUCUUUGAAGUUUUGGUCUUCUUUCAAUAACUGGAUUAAAAAAGGUAACCUCUGCAAAUAAAGUACCCUGUGGUUCCAAAUAGAGACACAUGCCAUGCCGUUGGUUGUCUAAAAAAUCUUCUAACCUCAGAAAUUUUACAGCACACAGAGACCGCCAAUCACGCCAAUAAACUGAAAUUUCCAGUUCACGUGACCUGUCCAGUUCCAGUGUAAACUUCUGGUCCCAUGACUGAUUGGAAAUGGGUUUCCAGCUAGUUUGGCCAACCACAGUAUUAUCGAGCUUCAAAACAGCACAGACAUCAUUGGACAAGUCAUCGGUUUUUAGAAGAUUUCGACUACUUCCGCUUUUACUUUUACUCGUUCUGCUCAUGAAAGAUGAUCUGGUUUCACUUGGACUCCAACCAGGCAGUGCAACUGAUGUUGCUUUUGACCGUCCAGGGACAUUCUCUAGGAUAUCUUGGCAGCCCAUAAGACGAACUUCCAAAGUACCUGUUAGUGCUGCUGGUUUGGAUAGUGUACUAUAUUGAUUUUGCGUAGAUAUCAUACUUUGACGUGGACUUAGUGUUGGUGAUGCAGCAACAAGUGAAAGUUCUUCAAUAAUAAUCCUGCUUUUGGGAUGAUUCUUGGGGACUUCGUUUAAUCUUUGCUCUAAUGAAUACUUUAAAAGGUCCAACUUCUGACUUGAUUCAUUAAAUCUUGCUUGAGCUUCUGAAAGUGCUUUUCUGUCUGUUACUUUUCCUGAGCCAAGUAAUUUCAUUACAUUCUUUGCACCUUCUGCUACUGCAAACUCUAUCCUAAAAUGAUGCCUUAAUUCUUCCAUCCGAAGUUCAAGAGGACUUAUCACAGGUUUUGCAUUAUCAAAAGCCAAUUCAUUAGUCUGGACUGCCUGAAGAAUCUGCAUUCGUAUGACUUCUAUUUUUGUCUUGCUGUCCUGGAGCAGUUGCUGAGCUGUACCAUGGAGUUUCCGAUCCUUUGAAGAUCCAUUUGAAUACAUCUGUAUCAUAUUCUCUGCACCUUGUUUUACUUUAAGUUCUAUAUCCAAUUGUUUUUGUAAGGCCUUCAAUCUAUUGUUGCUAGUAGAACAACGAGGGUCAUUAUUUGGAGUAUCUGGAGUCCUUGGGCAAUCUGUAAUAUCUUCUGGAUCUGAUACAACAAUAUGUGCAUUUAAUUCCUGCAGCUUGUGAUGUAGUUCUUCUAAUUUUUUAUUUGAUUUUUUCAAAAUGUUGUCUACAUAAGCCAAACUUUUUUUAUCUGUUGUGACUUUCCUCAGAUUUUCAGCUCCUUCUUUGAUUUUCAGUUCUUUCCUUAUUUCUCUCUUAAUUCGAUCCUUGAUAUCAUCCAAUUUCUGCUGCACCAUUGUAUCUGAAAAGUCUAAUUUUUGAACAGCACUCACAUUCUCAGAAAACGGAAGACUUCGGGAAUCCCCCUGCAGUUCCGUGAGCAGAAUCUCCCCCCGUUCGGGGUUGGACGCCAUUGCGCUCCGGUAUGGACUCCGCACCUGGAC